Molecule: ribosomal RNA, 468 nt
Filed under: uncultured bacterium
Lineage: Bacteria
Description: partial 16S ribosomal RNA
Rfam family: Bacterial small subunit ribosomal RNA
Source: RNAcentral
GACGAACGCUGGCGGCGUGCUUAACACAUGCCAGUCGAACGGAAAGGCCCUGCUUUUGUGGGGUGCUCGAGUGGCGAACGGGUGAGUAACACGUGAGUAACCUGCCCUUGACUUUGGGAUAACUUCAGGAAACUGGGGCUAAUACCGGAUAGGAGCUCCUGCUGCAUGGUGGGGGUUGGAAAGUUUCGGCGGUUGGGGAUGGACUCGCGGCUUAUCAGCUGGUUGGUGGGGUAGUGGCUUACCAAGGCUUUGACGGGUAGCCGGCCUGAGAAGGUGACCGGCCACAUUGGGACUGAGGUACGGCCCAGACUCCUACGGGAGGCAGCAGUGGGGAAUAUUGCACAAUGGGCGGAAGCCUGAUGCAGCAACGCCGCGUGCGGGAUGACGGCCUUCGGGUUGUAAACCGCUUUCGCCUGUGACGAAGCGUGAGUGACGGUAAUGGGUAAAGAAGCACCGGCUAACUACGUG